Molecule: long non-coding RNA, 1081 nt
Filed under: Phaseolus vulgaris (common bean)
Lineage: Eukaryota; Viridiplantae; Streptophyta; Magnoliopsida; Fabales; Fabaceae
Description: long non-coding RNA (PVUL_LNC001945)
Source: RNAcentral
GUUUACAUAUACAAGUCACCACCUCCUCCAUCACCUACUUAUGUUUACAAGUCACCACCACCACCAGUGAAGUCACCUCCCUAUUACUAUCAAUCUCCACCUCCACCAUCACCAAAACCUCAGCCUCCUUAUUAUUAUCACUCUCCACCUCCUCCAACACCAGUUGUUAAGCCACCAUACUACUACCAAUCUCCACCUCCUCCAUCUCCAAAACCUAAGCCUCCAUACUACUACCAAUCUCCUCCUCCUCCAUCACCAAAACCUAAACCUCCUUACUACUACCAAUCUCCACCUCCUCCAUCACCAAAACCUCAGCCUCCAUACUACUAUCAAUCUCCACCUCCUCCAACACCAGUUGUGAAGCCACCAUACUACUACCAAUCUCCACCUCCUCCAUCACCAAAACCUCAGCCUCCUUACUAUUACCAAUCUCCACCUCCUCCAACACCAGUUGUUAAGCCACCAUACUACUAUAAAUCUCCACCUCCCCCAUCACCCUCUCCUCCACCACCAUACUACUACAAAUCUCCACCACCACCAUCCCCAUCACCGCCACCUCCAUACUACUAUAAAUCUCCACCUCCACCAUCACCGGUUGUUAAGCCACCAUACUACUAUAAAUCCCCACCUCCCCCAUCACCCUCUCCUCCCCCUCCAUACUACUAUAAAUCUCCACCUCCAUACUACUACCACUCUCCACCUCCACCAUCACCAGUUGUUAAGCCACCAUACUACUACAAAUCUCCACCUCCACCAUCACCCUCACCUCCCCCUCCAUACUACUAUAAAUCUCCACCCCCACCUUCACCAUCCCCUCCUCCUCCAUACUAUUAUAAAUCACCACCACCACCAUCCCCAUCACCGCCACCUCCAUACUAUUACAAAUCCCCUCCACCUCCAUCCCCAUCUCCACCGCCUCCUUAUUACUAUCACAGUCCUCCUCCACCAUCUCCCACUCCUCAUCCUCCCUACUACUACAAAUCCCCUCCACCACCAACGUCCUAUCCUCCACCUCCUUACCACUAUGUGAGCCCUCCACCACCUUCUCCAUCUCCACCUCCACCAUACUAUUACAAAUCAC